Molecule: ribosomal RNA, 389 nt
Filed under: uncultured bacterium
Lineage: Bacteria
Description: bacterial SSU rRNA
Rfam family: Bacterial small subunit ribosomal RNA
Source: RNAcentral
ACUCCUACGGGAGGCAGCAGUGGGGAAUAUUGCACAAUGGGCGCAAGCCUGAUGCAGCCAUGCCGCGUGAUGUAGCAAGAAUGGGCCUUUCGGGUUGAUAAAGCACUUUUCAGUCGUGAGGAAGGUGAGUGUAGUUAAUAGCUGCAUUUAUUUGACGUUAGCGAACAGAAGAAGCACCGGCUAACUCCGUGCCAGCAGCCGCGGUAAUACGGAGGGUGCGAGCGUUAAUCGGAAUUACUGGGCGUAAAGCGCAUGCAGGUGGUUUGUUAAGUCAGAUGUGAAAGCCCGGGGCUCAACCUCGGAAUUGCAUUUGAAACUGGCAAGACUAGAGUACUGUAGAGGGGGGUAGAAUUUCAGGUGUAGCGGUGAAAUGCGUAGAGAUCUGAAGG